This 319-nucleotide ribosomal RNA is filed under the name uncultured eukaryote. RNAcentral describes it as "partial 18S ribosomal RNA". It matches the Rfam family "Eukaryotic small subunit ribosomal RNA", at positions 1470 to 1796 of the family's 1831-position model. The record is from RNAcentral.
CCCUUAGAUGUUCUGGGCCGCACGCGCGCUACAAUGGUCUUCGCAAACGGAUGCAUUCUCGAAGGAGAAUGCCAAUCUUGGAAUCUAUGCCUUGGUCGGGACAGUUGCUUGCAAUUUUUCGACUCGAACCAGGAAUUCCUUGUAAUCGUGAUUCAUCACAUCACGAUGAAUACGUCCCUGCCCUUUGUACACACCGCCCGUCGCUCCUACCGAUUGAAUGCUCAGGUGAGCCAUUCGGACUUUCAUCAUGCUGGUUUCCAGUUUUGAUGAAGGAAAGUCUUGCGAACCUUAUCAUUUAGAGGAAGGAGAAGUCGUAACA